GACGAACGCUGGCGGCGUGCUUAACACAUGCAAGUCGAACGGUGAAGCGCCUUCCUUUUUGGUGGGUGUGGAUGAGUGGCGAACGGGUGAGUAACACGUGAGUAACCUGCCCCCUUCUUCUGGAUAACCGCAUGAAAGUGUGGCUAAUACGGGAUAUUCUGGGUCUGUCGCAUGAUGGGUCUGGGAAAGAUAUUGUUUCGGUGGGGGAUGGGCUCGCGGCCUAUCAGCUUGUUGGUGGGGUGAUGGCCUACCAAGGCGGUGACGGGUAGCCGGCCUGAGAGGGUGGACGGUCACACUGGGACUGAGACACGGCCCAGACUCCUACGGGAGGCAGCAGUGGGGAAUAUUGCACAAUGGGAGCAAGCCUGAUGCAGCGACGCCGCGGGAGGGAUGGAGGCCUUCGGGUUGUGAACCUCUUUCGCCAGUGAAGCGGGCCUGCCUCGUUUGUGGGUGGGUUGACGGUAGCUGGAUAAGAAGCGCCGGCUAACUACGUG
Molecule: ribosomal RNA, 494 nt
Filed under: uncultured bacterium
Lineage: Bacteria
Description: partial 16S ribosomal RNA
Rfam family: Bacterial small subunit ribosomal RNA
Source: RNAcentral